Numida meleagris (helmeted guineafowl) is the source of this 600-nucleotide non-coding RNA. The record is from the annotation of a RefSeq genome assembly. Lineage: Eukaryota; Metazoa; Chordata; Aves; Galliformes; Numididae.
AUGACCAUGACCAUGACCAUGAGCAUCUGCAUCAUCGUAUCCUUCUCCAUCACCACCACCACCACCAUCCUUUCUUCAGACAAUUCUGUGCUCGGUUCCAUCCCUGUGGGCUCAUUUUUGCAGAUUGGGGCUGAGUUCUGGCUGAUGGCGGCCGUGACGUUGGACGAGUCCGGGGGCGGCCUCCAGACACCCGGGGGAAGGCUCACCCUCGUCUGCAAGGCCUCCGGCUUUGACUUCAGCGAUUACAGCAUGAACUGGGUGCGACAGGCGCCCGGCAAGGGGCUGGAGUGGGUUGCAUGUAUGUAUUAUGAUGGCAGUUACACAUACUACGCGCCGGCGGUGAAGGGCCGUGCCACCAUCUCCAAGGACAACGGGCAGAGCACAGUGCGGCUGCAGCUGAACAGCCUCAAGGCCGAAGACACCGCCACCUACUACUGCACGAGAUGUUCUAGUAGUGGUUGUAAUGCUUAUGAGGCUGGUCAGAUCGACGUCGCUCCUGGAUUGAGUGGUGUCAUCCACGGCCCCGAUACAGAGAUCGGACCUGAAGUGAGCAAGCUGAGCCCAGAACGUACAGAACUCAACCCCAAUCUGCAGAAGUGA